UGACAGAGUAACAAACCCAGCCAAGGACAUAAAGAAUGAGUCAGGUUGGGUUUCUGCAUGUUCCAUACCUGUCAUCUUUUGUGAACCAGUUGAAGGUUGGCUUCUCAAGGCACUCAUUCUUGGUGGUUAAAUUAUAAAAGAAUAUCUUCUUUUUGCCUCUAGUUAGGGCCUAAGGGUUCCUGAGGGGAGUGUGAGCUAGAUUUUUGCUCUAUACAUUCAUUCUGGAUGGAAAAUCUUUCUACAAAAAUACUCAACCCUAUUUUGAGACCCUGAUUUUGUAGGAUCAGUGAAGGGCAUGAUUGUCUGGUUCAAGGAAGGAGAACAGGUGUGUGUUUAUAGAACAGAUCAGUUUGUUUCAGAUUGGUAUUUUUCUUUGGAAGUUUCAGUGAACCAGAAGUCCCAGCACCUUCAUGCUCCUGGACGUUCAUUGAGGCUCCACUACAUGAAGGAACAUUACUGAUAGAAACAGUCUAAUUAGAAAAUAUAAGAUCUGGUCCAGACAGAAUGGCAUUUAUUUAAUGAUGCUCUGAGGGAGACGUGGGCAAGUACAUGAAGCCUAGGAAGAGAUCUAGAUGAGUAACUAAGAAAUUAUUCAUAAGAGAAAUCAAUUGUUGUAGGAUUUUUUACUUAUCAACAUGGACCUUGAUAACUGAUAGCAAACCUCUCAAAACUGUUUUUGGACAAAGCAUAAUAAGGUCACAAUAAAUGACUCCAAGUUUCACAUUUGGUACUAGGCUUGGAUAACUCUUUAACUCGUUAAUAAUAGUUUAUAUUUAUCUAUUCUUAUUUAUUACUGAAUCAACUUAGAGUUCCCUAUUUCUGAUUUACAUUGACUAGAUUUGCAUCUGUUGCUGUCCGUUUCCUGGUUUAAAAAACUCAGAAAUGGUCGUGAUGAGGACCAAGGUAGAAAUUGUGAAGCAAACUGCACACACACUGCAGAGAAUGGGUCUUUCAUAAAUGGAGUUAUUGUUACCCUUCUUAUGGCAGUGAUCAAUGGAAGAGACUUCGGAGAGUGAACAGCUGGUGGCACUAUAUUGCAGUGUUUAAAACUUUGGGAGGAACUGAGUGGAAGAAGUGAGUCACCAGAGGUGUGUCUCUGAAGGUUAUACCUGAUUCAAAUCCCCUUCCUCACUGGUUGCUUUCUGACUGACAAAGUGGGGGAAGGACCUCUGUCCUAGCUCUUGGGGCAAGGGACCAAGGUCUGAACCUUCAGAAAUUGAUUACAACCCAUGACUCAUCUUGCUUCAAGAGCUCAUACUUGCUACCCUGGUAUCAUCACUGUAUUAUUUUCAAACAAAUCCUGAACAUUUUAGCAUCUGUGCAUUGGUUGGUAUACAAAUUUUCUUUAUGUUUCAUACAUUUUUUAAACUUUUUUGUUCAA
Long non-coding RNA from Peromyscus leucopus (white-footed mouse), 1381 nucleotides. RefSeq lists it as uncharacterized. NCBI's taxonomy places the organism in Eukaryota, Metazoa, Chordata, Mammalia, Rodentia, Cricetidae. The transcript has 4 exons. The record is from RefSeq and is a predicted model, not a curated record.